UACGGCCAGAUCACGUUGAAACAUUGGUUCCCGUAUGAUCACCGAAGUUAAGCAACAUCAAGCCUGGCCAGUACUUAGUUGGGUGACCGCUUGUGAAUACUUAUUGCUGUAAG
This is a non-coding RNA of Acanthosepion pharaonis, 113 nucleotides long. The record is from the annotation of a GenBank genome assembly. NCBI's taxonomy places the organism in Eukaryota, Metazoa, Mollusca, Cephalopoda, Sepiida, Sepiidae.